GAUGAACGCUGGCGGCGUGCCUAAUACAUGCAAGUCGAGCGAACAGACGAGGAGCUUGCUCCUCUGACGUUAGCGGCGGACGGGUUAGUAACACGUGGAUAACCUACCUAUAAGACUGGGAUAACUUCGUGAAACCGGAGCUAAUACCGGAUAAUAUAUUGAACCGCAUGGUUCAAUAGUGAAAGACGGUUUUGCUGUCACUUAUAGCUGGAUCCGCGCCGCAUUAGCUAGUUGGUAAGGUAACGGCUUACCAAGGCAACGAUGCGUAGCCGACCUGAGAGGGUGAUCGGCCACACUGGAACUGAGACACGGUCCAGACUCCUACGGGAGGCAGCAGUAGGGAAUCUUCCGCAAUGGGCGAAAGCUUGACGGAGCAACGCCGCGUGAGUGAUGAAGGUCUUCGGAUCGUAAAACUCUGUUAUUAGGGAAGAACAAAUGUGUAAGUAACUAUGCACGUCUUGACGGUACCUAAUCAGAAAGCCACGGCUAACUACGUG
This 497-nucleotide ribosomal RNA is filed under the name uncultured bacterium. RNAcentral describes it as "partial 16S ribosomal RNA". It matches the Rfam family "Bacterial small subunit ribosomal RNA", at positions 28 to 507 of the family's 1533-position model. The record is from RNAcentral.